This 495-nucleotide ribosomal RNA is filed under the name uncultured bacterium. RNAcentral's name for it is "partial 16S ribosomal RNA". It matches the Rfam family "Bacterial small subunit ribosomal RNA", at positions 28 to 507 of the family's 1533-position model. The record is from RNAcentral.
GACGAACGCUGGCGGCGUGCCUAAUACAUGCAAGUAGAACGCUGAAGGAGGAGCUUGCUCUUCUGGAUGAGUUGCGAACGGGUGAGUAACGCGUAGGUAACCUGCCUGGUAGCGGGGGAUAACUAUUGGAAACGAUAGCUAAUACCGCAUAAGAGUAGAUGUUGCAUGACAUUUACUUAAAAGUUGCAAUUGCCUCACUACCAGAUGGCCCUGCGUUGUAUUAGCUAGUUGGUGGGGUAACGGCUUACCAAGGCGACGAUACAUAGCCGACCUGAGAGGGGGAUCGGCCACACUGGGACUGAGACACGGCCCAGACUCCUACGGGAGGCAGCAGUAGGGAAUCUUCGGCAAUGGACGGAAGUCUGACCGAGCAACGCCGCGUGAGUGAAGGAGGUUUUCGGAUCGUAAAGCUCUGUUGUAAGAGAAGAACGAGUGUGAGAGUGGAAAGUUCACACUGUGACGGUAGCUUACCAGAAAGGGACGGCUAACUACGUG